Molecule: long non-coding RNA, 3237 nt
Organism: Dunckerocampus dactyliophorus (ringed pipefish)
Lineage: Eukaryota; Metazoa; Chordata; Actinopteri; Syngnathiformes; Syngnathidae
Exons: 4
Source: RefSeq, a predicted model, not a curated record
GCAAUGAAUGGACGGGAGAUGUGUUUGUUUGGAGUUGGAGAAACAUACAGUAUAUGGCGUUGGACUGCACAGCUGUUGAUGUGUUCAGGGAAGAAUAAAGUUGUAAAAGAGCGUCAGACACUAUGUGAUUGUGGGGAGCUACACUGUGCCGCCGUCUGUCGACAUAAUAGAGAGCCGUGGCUUGCCAUCAUGCGUGUGGCGAGAUGUUACCGCUCAUGUUUGGAAUCAAUUAGCACGUGCAACGAGAGGUGUCUGCUGCCAAAGUAGGAAAAGUUGAGGAUGACGAAACACGACUCAGUGCACGUGGGAGACAUGGUUAAAAAAGAGGGCGAGCAUCAUUUACUGUCAGAUGUGAGAACGCGUGCGUGUGUGUGGUAGCGGUGAUGCUUGGCGUCGGUAUGUGGGAUUGGAAGCAGACAAGGAGGAGGAGGUGGAUCACAUUGAUGCCCAGGAGGGACGCUACCAUGCAGCAGCAACCACGCAUCUUAAAUUAAGAGAAUGCAUCUCAUUUGCAUACUCAAAAUAUUUAAAGUGAUGACGAUUUAGGACUUUUAUGCUUGAGGAUCAACGGACUGAGCAAGGAACGUAAACAAUGUACCCAUGUACCACUUUAAGAAACAACAGUACAGGCACAUCGUGUUUAUUAGCUAUAUGGGAGAUAAACUGGUAUCAUUUAGCCUGAUUUCAUUCCUUUAUCAUUAUUUAAUAAGUUAUUGCUUAAAUUAUAUGCUGCAUUUAUUUAUACAUUAUACCAGGGGUGUCCAAAGUAAGGCCCAGGCCCAUUAUUUUUUUUAUUAUUAUUUUAUUUUAUUGUAUUUAAUGUACAAAAUGUAUCAAAGUGGCCUCCCACAUCCACCGGCCUAUGUGUGGAAUGUUAUACUGUGUUCCCUCGUUUAUCGCUGGGGAUAUGUUCCCAAAAUAGCCCGCAAUACGUGAAAUCGGCAAAGUAGCCAACUUUAUUGUUUUUUUACAAUGAUGAUAUGUUUUAAGGCUGUAAAACCCCUCAGCAUACACUUUAUACACUUUUCUCAGACAGGCAUUAACAUUUUCUCACAUUUCUCUCUUGUUCAAAUACUCAAAAAAGUUCAAACCUUCGUUUGAAUUUUAAUUAUCGACCUACUAGGUUGGACACAAGAAAUUAUUAAGUCACUCGUGCAUUUUUCCACUCCUCUGACCAUGCCUUUUCUUCCUGGCGCCGUUCCACUGUACUGUAGGGUUUUUGUAUCCUUGUUAAAACAUAUUGCUCUUGUCGUCGUAUUUUCCUCAAGCGGUUAGCUUCUUCUGUUUCCAGCAUUGUUUCCAGUAUUGGCGGUUAGCAAGCAGCUCACACGGUUAGCUACUUUGGUAGCCAUGACCAUAGACAUAUAUAGAUGCCGCAUCGAGCGCUGAGCUGUAAUGUUGCCACCAUGCUGGAUGUGUCAAGGCUGCGCUGUAAAUGAAUACAAGUACUGUAAAAGCAACAACAAUGUAUUUGAUCUUCACAAAUGUUUGGUGCCUAACUGUUUCCCAAUUACAUUAGUGCGUGUGUGGGUGUAUAAACGAGAGGCACUAACUUAAAUUUCUUUGUAGAAAGGCGCUUUAUGAAAGUAAGUACAUUUACUUGUAUUCAUUUACAGCGCGGCCUUGACACAUCCAGUAUGGCGUCGACGUUGACGUAUUGCAACAGUGGACAAACCCACUUGAUGUGGCGUCUAUCUUUGUCUGUGGCCAUGACCACAACAAGAGACGGCACAAAGGAGAUUGAUUGACAAUGGUCUACAGCCAAUCAGGAUGCAGGAGACAAAGGGCGGUGCAGACAGAAGAGAGAGAAUAGAGAGAGACACCGCUGCCUGUGAUAAAGCACAGAACUACAACACUAAACUUCCCACAUUGCAAUUCUUCUUAAACGGCCUGGUUUGGCCUGCAACAGCGUUCAUAUGCAGUAAAAAAAAAAAAAAUAAUAAUAAUAAUAAUAAUUUAAAAUUAAAAUUGCAGUAAAAAAAAAUUGAGAAAUGGCGAGUCUGCAAAAGGUGAACCGCGAUGGAGCGAGGGAACACCAUAUUGUUUUUUUUGUUUUGUUUUUUUUACUCCUGUAUUUAUUUAUUUAUUCAUUUAUAGUUUAUUUAUCAUUUAUUUAUUAAAUCACUUAUUUUUUUCUUCCUGGUUGGAAAAAGAUUGGGCAAUGUGGCAAUGUUGGUGUCAGUUUUUCUUACUCUUAAAUUUAUUAAUUCAUUUAUGUAUAUUUAAUAUUUGUAUUUAUUUUAAUUUUCUAUGUAUUUUAGCACUUUUUUUCCCUUGUCGGAAAAGGUUUGGACAAUGUUCCAAUGUUUGUGUCAGGUUUUUUUUCUGUAUUUAUUUAAAUGUUUAUUUUAUUUUAUUUUAUUUUAUUUUAUAUGUAUUUAUAAUUUAUUUACAUUUUCAUUUUUAGUUUUAUCACGUCUUUUUUCAUUCUUAUUGGAAACAGUUUGAAUCAUUUUACAACGUUUGUGUCAGUUUUUCUUACUCCUGAAUUUAUGUAUUUAUUUAUGUAUCUAUAAUUAUUUAUGUAUCUGAUAUUUUUGUUGAUUUUAUUUUUAUGUAUUUAUUAUUUGACAUUUGCAUUUUUUUUAUUAUUAUUAUCACUUAUUCUUUCUUCCUUGUUACAAACAGUUUGGAUAACAUUUGUGUCAGAUUUUCUUAUUUAUUUAUCUUUAAUCUUUGUAUUUAUUUAAUUGUAUUUUUAUGUAUUUAUUAUUUGACAUUUUCAUUUUCUUUUUAGCAAUUCUUUUUUCUUCCCCAUUGGAAAAAGUUUGGUUACGAUGUUUUUGACCGUAUUUUGUUGUGUUUAUUUAUCAGUCAAUUUAUCUUUAAUCUUUUUAUUUAGUUUAUUUUCUAUUUAUGUAUUUAGUCAUAUUUUUCAUACUCAUAUAUUCAUAUUUAAAUAUUUAUUUAUAAAUGUACUUGUUUAUUUUAUUUGUAAAUGUACUUAUUUAUUAUUUUAUUGCUGAAAACCUUUUUCUUUCUUUCACCACUGCACAAGCUGUCUAUUUAUUGUUACACUUUCUCUAUUCUUUCCUGUCCUUAGCAGAAAAUGGUAACAUGUCACAAAGGAAGUCAACAAACUGUCUGCAAUUCCUGAAAUAUGGAGCAGGGUAGGAUUAAAUAAGAUCUGGUCUUCCUGGGCCUUUUUGUACAUGUUGAAUUGUGCAAAUGUAAACAUGAAGCACUUCAGUGUAACUCUGUUAAGCAUGUCUGGAGCAAAUAAAACCAUAACCAAAU